Molecule: long non-coding RNA, 1499 nt
Filed under: Felis catus (domestic cat)
Lineage: Eukaryota; Metazoa; Chordata; Mammalia; Carnivora; Felidae
Description: lncRNA (ENSFCAG00000051918.1)
Source: RNAcentral
CCCAAAGUAUAGGAAAAGGAUUCAAACGAUGCCACAAAGGCACAAAUGAGACCAACCGCGGAAGCCGAGCGGAUCCCAGUCGUGUCGUCUCAAAGCCUCAGAAAUGAGGAAGCAGAAAAUGAGUCCUGACACAGCGUUGCAAUCAUUCUGUGUUGUCUUCCCUCAUGGCAUUUCGAACACCCGCCGUCUUAAAAAGAAACGAAAAAGCAAGGAAAAGGAAAAUCUGAUUUCUCAAAGUUCAUUUUGAAACAUGAGAAUAACUAGUAAAGGCCGUGGCCAUCCAGUCAAACACCCAGAUGUGCUAAGAGGUGGCGCUGUGCUGGUCACGACGGAGGGGCUGUGGAUUGAUGUCCUUACUCCAUGGUGCCCUGAACUGCCCUCAAGGAAUAUACAGGCGAUUUACUGCAAGGAAUCUGAAAAGUCACCAGCCGUCAGGAAAGAAGUGACAGACGCCAGUCGAGUGAGUCUGGUCGGGGCUGUGCGGUUUCAGAGGCACUGAGGUUGGUCUGGGGCCAUCGGAGAAGAAGACUCCACCGAAGGGGCCGCGCCCGCUUCUGUUGACCUCGGGGAGCCCCCGGAGGGUUUUGAGCAGGGCAGCGGCGGGAUCAAAGUGGUGCUUUUGGAAGAUGAUGCUGGCUUUGAGGUUGAGUCUGAAGGAGAACCGCCACCAAAAAAGGCUUUGCGAUGGUGGGGGAGCCGUGAGCACACGGUGUCAGGAUGAGGCUGCCAAGCAGGCUGGCUAAACUUGCUGUGCUGCUGCGGGCCCCUUGUCCUUGCCCUAUAUGGCUACGGACUGCCACUGGGCACGGGCCUCCUUUGUUUCUAGCCUGCCCUCUCUCUCGCUCCCAGGAGCGUCUUCCCUUCCACGCCAGCUCUCCCAGUGCCAGUUCUGUGUCCGCCCCACCCCCUACAGGAUAUUGAUCUCACCCAGAUUUUAUGAUGUCUCAUAAACCUCUUGGGUUUUUUCAUCUGUCUGACUCACCCCAAUCACGCUAUAUUCUCCUAGCACAAUUAGACAUCUCCUUUCCCCUGUGCUUUAUAAAUUACUUACCACUGCAUUCAGGCGUCCGUCUUGAAAUAUAAAGUGCACUGGAAAAACAAAUGACAGCCGGGGGUGGAGUGCCCAUCAUCUAACCGUCUCCUUGUGAUUGCACUCACCUUUGACUGAUCCCUUUACCUCCUUAUCGCUCAAAGCCAGAGGUCACCGAGACCGAAAUUCCCCUCCGGGAGAAACCGAAAUGGGGAGGGGGAAAAGCCUUUACUUUCAUCUCCUGAGGCUAUGAAAUUUGCCAGAUACGAGACUUAAGGAGGCUGGAUUUUUUUCUGUAGGGACUGAUGAUUCUUGGGUGGUGGUGGUGAUGGGGACAGUGGAGGACGACGUGAUUAAAGCGAGCAAGAAAAGAGAGGUCCAGGGGAGACACCCUCUAGGGCAGUGACACUUUGCUUCAUGUGUAAAACACGAGUAAGGCAUGUGAAACCAAUGAACUGAAUCAAAGAAC